GCUCUAGUCUACUACAUCAAGAAAUACCGAAGUCUCGAGACAUUUUUAACGAAAAGAAAAGUGGCAACGCGUAGCAAGAAGAACAGCGAGCGCCAUGGGUCGUCAGAAACCUUUGGCGACAUCGACCCGCCGAUUCCUAUCUCAAUCGACGUCGGUUAUCUCGACAGAGGCACAAGUGUAAUUAGCCUCGGCUUGUACGCCGAUUGUAAAAAUACAGCUACCGCCGGGACGCGUAUUUAUACAAUACUAAUUUACUAAACCCAAUUAGUUAAUUGAGGAUGGUGUGGCCGUAUCAGUAAGAGGAGGAGGAGGAGGAGGGAAAGAGGGAUACGUCCGAUCGUCUCCAAGCAAAUGUACACCGCCGAUUACGUUCCAAUACGAACGCGUAAUGGUCCCCCGAAGUGUCCCCUCCGAGCAGCCGCAUUUUUGCAUUAACGAGCGAACGCUCGGCUCGCGAGCGUAACGAUAACAUUAACCGCGGUAAUUGACGCGAUUAUCGACGGACGUUACCAUUUUCAUUAGUUUCUUCUUGGGUAGCAGUCUCGACUCGGAGCAUUAACGUGACGACGUUUAUCGCGUUUCGAACGUCCCCGAACGUAGCUCGCUGGUAAGAAACGUUGAGUGAAUUUCGUUGCCGGACGCUUCCACUCUUUUCACGGUCCUUGGAUAGCGGCGAGCUGCUUUCUUGCGGAACCACGAAUAUCGCCGGCUCGCGCAAACCCGCUGUUUUGCUCUUUAGGAAUCAUUAGCCUCGGCUUUCGCGGCUAAUUCAAAUUGCGAUUCCCCGCCGGUCUCGUGCUCCCGCUCAUCAAAAUGCCGGACACAUAGCGAGCCGCACCGAGGAACCGGCAAAAACCGCGAAUUAACUUUUACUGGACGGGGAGGAAGAAAAAAAGGCCACGUCGUUUUGCGCGCUGCGUGCCGCCUCUGUGAACCAGCCGGUCCCUGGAGGACGCUCUUUUUCACUAUUUCUGCCAACGCGGCCACGGAAUGCCCCGUUGCGAUCGUAUUAACGACGAAACGCGUUGGGCCAAUUUUAAAUGUUGAAUUAGUCCAGGAGGGGUUGCGGUUUAGGGGUUGGCUGCGUGUGGAUCGUGUGGAGGGUGGUUCGAGUGACGUGAUGGUAUCAUUUGAGCGGGAGAAGUACACUGAUAUAGUGUGAGAAUUUAUGGCAACGUGAGAUUUCAAGAUUCUCAGAGUUCCUUUACAAAAACUAAAAUAAAUCUUGAGAAAUUGAUGAUCAAGAAUCACACCACGUGAUCAAGAACUUCCUCGAGAGGACUGAAAAUAGUUAAAUCAGCUUCACAAGGUGUCGCCACAAAGUUUGUUUGUUUGUUUAUUAAAUUAAAGUGCGUACAUUCGUAGAAGUACUUCGCACUACAAUGUGCUGCUCUCUUUUUACAUUGUCUCUUCUAAACGUUUUACAUAAAUACUUAAUCUCUAUUCUUACUGGCUGAUUUUAUAAUUAUUAUCCUUCUUAUAACUAACCGCAAUAAGGAAAACAAACACAAUCAAAUUUUUAAUUUGUAAGUCGAGGUUGCCAUAUUCUUUAUGCCACAAAGUUGCAGCAGUGUUUCCUCAUGGUAAAUGAAGCAUGGGUCAUGAAGCUUUUCCUGAGAUUCAUGAGAAGGCGCCACGUGAUUGUAUGGAGUAGAGUGGUCGUUUUGUGAGAUUCCCCCUCCAUUUAUGACCAUUGUACACCAUCCCCCACCAGCGACCAUUGCUACCCACGCGUGGCACGCUCUCCACACGUGGAUCGCGCGUUUCCCUCGUCGCUAGAGCGUCGGAUGUUCUCGGCUUUCCCCGUGAACCUAUGCCUACCACGUGUUCCAGUCAUGUAACACCACUCUCAACUCUCGCACGCUCGUCCCAUGCGAUACAAUCCAAUGACAAGGGUGAGGAAUCGUCUAACUAUGAAUGUCAUAACAUCGUGAACUCACCAUUAUUUUGCAACGAUAUUCCACAGGACUUGACCCACUCAAAAAACUCAGAAAUCGUAUUCCUAGAUGCUCAUCUUCCUCGAAUCAGCUGGAAUUCUUCUAGCUCCGAGACACUUCGAAACUGCAAACUAAAUCACCAUUAAAUUGCUUUUAAUCGUUGAAAAAAGACGUGAAAAAUCGCAUACGAAACACAGGACACCGCACAGCAAAACAAAAAGAAGGAUCUAGGAGCCUAAGAACCCAUUUGCCAGCUCGUAACGCGAACAGUCAACGGGCCAAGUGCGCGGGAGGGGAGCUGGAGGGUUAUUCGCCGACCGCCGUGUAGUGGUCGCAGUCCAUAAAACGCUACAGCCAAUGUAAUUACCAUGACCGCCACGGUUUUGGAGCAUCGGGACUAUAUCGCCCCGUAAUUGCCUCGGAAUUACGAAAAAAUAACAGUUUUUGGAGUUAGAUCGUAAAAUUGAGCUAACGAGGAGCGCGGCGAGCUUGGCGUUCACCGCACGCUAUAAAAAUGGGAGGCACGAGUGUGGCUAAACGCGACGGAUAUUCAUUGGGGGCACAGGUUAUUACGUGUUUAAUUUUCGACCGCACACGUGGUUCCACGCUAUGUUUCGGAGCAACGAGAACGUAAACAACGAAUGAUCAGGUAUGCCUUCAUUGGAAGGAACACGAAGUCCUUUAAUAGAUAUUUGCAUUGUAUCAAGACAUUAAUAUAUGUAAUAGUACUGAUUAUUAAAUGCAACUGCGACAUUGAUCAAUGUAAAUGUAAAUAAUACUGUAUCUGUAACAAAAAAAAAAUAUGCUGAGCCAUUGCACAGUUUUGGUACACAUUUCUACACCUGAUGGCUCCUGACAAUCCCUGACAACCCCUGAAAGCUCUCAAUGAUCCUUGACGACCCCUUGGCAAUACCUGAUAGUCACUAAUGAACCCCUUACUAUUAUUUUAAUGUACUUCAUAAAUAAUACUACCUAUUUAUAUAAAAAUAUGAACAGAGACAGAGAAAGGAUCAGCGACACACUUGUAAACUGUAAAACUCUAAUUGCAACCUUGUUGAAUAUUAAAAUUUCUCGGUUUACGUCUCUUCGCCUUCGAGAUGGCAACCGAAUAGACAAACUUGCUAGCAUAGGUUGCCGUGUGAAAGGGGCAGCUCUGCGUCUACACGAUGAUAACCGAACCGACAAGCAGGCUAGUAGUACCGGUUACCGCAUGAAAGGGGCAGCACUGCGUCUACGAGCUGACAACCAGCCCGACAAACCAGAUAGCAUAGGUUGCCGCAUAACAGGGGUACCUCUGCGCCUACGAGAUGGCCACCGCCCCGACAAGCUGACUAGUAUACAUAGGUUGCCGCAUAACAGGGGCAGCUUUGCGCUUACGAAAUGACAACCGAACCGACAAACGGGUUAGUUAUCAGUUGCUCUAUACCAGAGGCACCUCUGCACCAACGAUAUUACAACCGGGCCUACAAACUGGCUAACUUCGGUUGAUAUUUAACAGGGGUAUACUUGCGCCUACUUGAUAACAACUAAUACUUUGUACACUUAUCGUUCAGGUCGCGGUAGUCAUCGGUGAAAAACACUAACGUUUCGUUCAUCUUUGGACACCUUCUAAUACCUUUUAACAACUGCUGAAAUCUCCUAACGUCCCCCAAAAGCUUCUAAUAUCUCCUAACAACCUUUAACAACUCCUAAUACCUUCUAACACCAUCUAACAAUUCCUAUAACCAUUUAACAUCUCCUAAUAAUUCCUGACAUAUCCUGGCAUCUCCUAAAGCUCUUGAAGAAUGACAUAAUGAAUGACGGUGAAAAUUUUCCCUUUAAUUUCCCUCCAUUUCUUUGUAUAUUUCCUGGUAUA
Molecule: long non-coding RNA, 3792 nt
Organism: Hylaeus anthracinus
Lineage: Eukaryota; Metazoa; Arthropoda; Insecta; Hymenoptera; Colletidae
Exons: 3
Source: RefSeq, a predicted model, not a curated record